This 80-nucleotide microRNA precursor is filed under the name Eptesicus fuscus (big brown bat). Its description in RNAcentral is "microRNA efu-mir-9188a precursor". Lineage: Eukaryota; Metazoa; Chordata; Mammalia; Chiroptera; Vespertilionidae. The record is from miRBase by way of RNAcentral.
GGGAGCUGGGUGCCUGUCCUCUGGUGCACCAGGCCUUCUAAAAGGCCUGGUGCCGGAGCGGACAGGCACCCAGCUCCCCC